AUUGAACGCUGGCGGAAUGCUUUACACAUGCAAGUCGAACGGCAGCACGGGGGCAACCCUGGUGGCGAGUGGCGAACGGGUGAGUAAUACAUCGGAACGUGCCCAGUCGUGGGGGAUAACGUAGCGAAAGCUACGCUAAUACCGCAUACGAUCUACGGAUGAAAGCGGGGGAUCGCAAGACCUCGCGCGAUUGGAGCGGCCGAUGGCAGAUUAGGUAGUUGGUGGGGUAAAGGCUCACCAAGCCUUCGAUCUGUAGCUGGUCUGAGAGGACGACCAGCCACACUGGGACUGAGACACGGCCCAGACUCCUACGGGAGGCAGCAGUAAGGAAUAUUGGUCAAUGGAGGGAACUCUGAACCAGCCAUCCCGCGUGAAGGAUGAAGGGGCUCUGCCUUGUAAACUUCUUUUGCAUGGGACGAAAAAACUUAAUUUAUUAAGGACUGACGGUACCAUGAGAAUAAGCACCGGCUAACUCCGUGCCAGCAGCCGCGGU
Molecule: ribosomal RNA, 493 nt
Filed under: uncultured bacterium
Lineage: Bacteria
Description: bacterial SSU rRNA
Rfam family: Bacterial small subunit ribosomal RNA
Source: RNAcentral